Molecule: non-coding RNA, 196 nt
Filed under: Cricetulus griseus (Chinese hamster)
Lineage: Eukaryota; Metazoa; Chordata; Mammalia; Rodentia; Cricetidae
Description: Connexin-43 internal ribosome entry site (IRES)
Rfam family: Connexin-43 internal ribosome entry site (IRES)
About the family: This family represents the connexin-43 internal ribosome entry site (IRES) which allows cap independent translation during conditions such as heat shock and stress.
Source: Rfam by way of RNAcentral
AGCUUUUACCUGGUGUCAGCAAUUUUCUUUUAUUAGGAGAAGGUAUGAGGAAGGUACCAAACAGCAGCAGGCUUUUAAAGUUUAGGCAGGUAUGACUCUUGAACUUACUUUGUCAUUUACUUCAUCCUCCAAGGCGUGCAAUCACUUGGCGUGCCUACUUCCCUUUCAAAUGCAAGAACAAGGAAUGCUCAACAUG